UACCAGCACCCCGAGCGGUCGGGACGAUUAUUGGGCCUAAAGCAUCCGUAGCCGGUUCUUUAAGUCCUCCGUUAAAUCCACCUGCUUAACAGAUGGGCUGCGGAGGAUACUAUAAGACUAGGAGGCAGGAGAGGCAAGCGGUACUCAGUGGGUAGGGGUAAAAUCCGUUGAUCCAUUGAAGACCACCAGUGGCGAAGGCGGCUUGCCAGAAUGCGCUCGACGGUGAGGGAUGAAAGCUGGGGGAGCAAACCGG
RNAcentral lists this ribosomal RNA (253 nucleotides) under uncultured bacterium. Its description in RNAcentral is "partial 16S ribosomal RNA". It matches the Rfam family "Archaeal small subunit ribosomal RNA", at positions 474 to 727 of the family's 1478-position model. The record is from RNAcentral.